This 7810-nucleotide long non-coding RNA is filed under the name Triticum aestivum (bread wheat). RNAcentral describes it as "long non-coding RNA (TAES_LNC005502)". The record is from RNAcentral. Lineage: Eukaryota; Viridiplantae; Streptophyta; Magnoliopsida; Poales; Poaceae.
GAUCAGUAGUGGAGCCCAGUUGGGGUCGAUCGUGGACCUUUGUUGCAUUUGGGGUUCUUCUUUUAUUUUGGUGCCGUAGUCGGACCAUGAGUGUAUUUGAUUAAUGUAAUGUUUAUUCCUGUAAUUGUGUGAAGUGGCGAUUGUAAGACAACUAUGUAUCUCUUUCCCUUAUGUAUUACAUGUGUUGUGUAAAGAUUACCUCACUUGCGACAUAUGCCUUUAAUGCGAUUAUGUCUCUAAGUCGUGCCUCGACACGUGGGAGCUAUAGUCGCAUCAAGGGUGUUACAAGUUGGUAAUCAGAGCCUUCCCCGACCUUAGGAGCCCCAUUGCUUGAUCGUUUUUAGCGGCCGAGUUGUGUCUAGAAAAAUGUUUUGAGUCAUUUAGGAAUUAUAUAUCGGAGAGCUUAGGAAUUCUUUUUACUCCCCAGUCUCCUCAUCGCUCUGGUAAGGCAUCCUGACGUAGAGUUUUGACUCUUCUCUUCUCAAAUUUCACUAAAAAAAAUUUAGGAUCAUGCGGGUAUCUUGGAAUCGUUCCGAUGGUUUUAUGAUGAGAACAUUGUCUUGGUGCCUCCUGUCAGGGGUUUUGUGGAAGUGUCCCGUGGAGUUGAGCUCUGAGGUGUUGUCGUCAUAAUUUUAUCGUUGCAGUUCUGGAAUACCUGAGUUUAGUACGCGGACAUCGAAAAUCUCUUUUAUGCAGUUCGUUGGUGACAUAACCUCGACGCCACCCAGUACUAGGGCGGGAGUUCGGGAGUAUCGCCAUAACUUGUAUAAUGGAUGCUUUUCGAAGGUUGAGGUAGAUGAUUUCUGAAGGCUUCUUGGUUAUGUGUUGAGGGAUGGAUACAACUGGAUGCAGGAUUUGCUAGAUUUGGGUGAGAUAUUAUGCUUCCCCUGUAUCCCCAACACCUGAUUGCAUAACCGGAAAAUUUCAGGAGUUUCAUAGGUGGGAAUUCAAGUAGCUCUUAGGAUAUCUUUCCGACAGAUGUAUGAUAUGAAAUUGGGGUUCGACUUCUAGUGGUCCGCCUAUUCACGGUCGGUUUUACAGUGGUCUCGUUGUGUCUUAAAGAGUCCUUGGCUAUGCCGACUUGGGGACGCUUCGUAUGUCAUGUGCACUACCUUGUACAUGAUGGUGCUGUACGAUCGAGCCCGUGUAGGCCCCACCACGAAAACUUCAGACGAAAUCUCUAUCAUAUGUUUGUUCCAGCUUAUUUUGCAAGCCAACCCUUUGUUUGUGUUUUGAGUUGUGGUAUUCGAGUUGCUUCGAAGUCAAGUGUUGAUUCCAUACCUUUCCUAAACGGUAUUCUCAUACUUCGAUGUGAAUACAAAUCUUUCUUGAUCAUCGAGAUUGUCAUGUCAAUCCUUUUCCACCAGCGUGUUUCUUUUCAAGUGGAUCCGAGCAUUUCAACAUCCGCAAGAUCAAUAUUUAGUUCUUCUCAACGGUGCUUAUUUCAUCCGUCCCAAGUUGCCUUUGUUUUCCCUCCCUCCCACCCUUGUUUCUUCGAGGAACCAUAUUUCUUAUUCAAGUAUCCUUUUAUUCAUGUGAAGUCUCCCCAUUCUUUUCCGGCAAUGUUCUUAUCCGUUGAUUCUCAGGAAGAUGCCAACGAAGCUUCAAGUUCGUCACUCUUCACUCGUUUUCUCCCCCAAUGGAUUCAAAUCAAGCUUUUGGUGUUGAUCUCAUAUUCUUUUCCUUGUUUCAAAUACUUUCUCAUGCCGGUGCAAUUCUUAAUCGUUCACCUCUCGCUAUUCUAUUGUCCCGGAGUGCUCAAGAUAUCUCAGAAGGCUCGUUUUUUUCAUUCAAGAUCAGUUCAACCUAUUUCGAGGUUGUUAUCUCUUUCAAGUCAUUUAAUUCAACCGGUGCAAUAUCUUUCAAGUAAUCUUUUCAACGGUGUUUCUUUUGAGUGGACCCUAACCCAUAGGUCUUUUCCCAGGAUCUUACCUGACUCUUCUUAUUUAACCGGAGCUAUCAUAAAUUCCUUUUAAAGUUUGACAUAAGAAUGAACUAUCAUCAGUCAAAUGUAUUUCUCCAAGAUCUCUCAAAUUCUUUUCAUUGUGGUUCAACCUUUCUAGUCUUCAUCCCGGAGUAUCUCAUCAAUCCAUGGUGGUCUUUAUCAUCGUCAUUCUCUGCAGUUGAAGACCGAAGAAGAGUUUCUUUUAAAUCUUGCUCCAUUCUCUGCCAUUCUGUCAUAAUUGUUUUUGAUUGUGGGAAUUCUUUUCAUCCAUCCGGAGUAAUUCAAGAGUCUUCUCGGUUUGAUUAUCCGGAGUCCAUCAAUUCAGGUGUACUCAUUCUCAGCCUUCAGUUGUCAUUCUCCAAUCUUACCGGUGCUUCAAGUGAUAUCUAAUCAGUUCGUGAUCCCUUCGUUCUCGUGGGUCUAAAUUCUCUCAAGCAUCUUCAUUCAUUUUCUAAUUCUUCCCAGUGUCUUCCUUAUAUUUUCUUUGUUCACUUUUAAUUUUUACGGUGGUUCGUUCAAGAGUUUUUUUCUUCUUCCUUCGUGUAUCAUAUCUAUGCAUCCGUGCUUUUCAAAUUCUACCGGUGGUUCGUUGAAGACCUUCUUAAAUUUGCGCUAUAUCUAUCUUAAUCUUUUCUACGAGAAUAAGUAGUAUGCCAAAUCCAUUAUUUGUCAUCAAUUUAAUUGGUGAAGGAUAAACAUAAUGUAAUUCUUAUUCUUGUUUCGUCGAGUUUAUUCAAUUCCUGUUUUCCGGAGUGGCUCAUCAUACUUUUCUUGGCUUCAAGUGCUCAUCUUUCUUUCCCGGAGUUCCAAGCUCUAAUUAUCACGGAGAUCCAUCUAAAUCAUUACAAGGUUUCACCUUGUGUUUUCAACUUCUCUCUCUUUUCGUUAUCUUUUGUUUACCGGAGACCUUCAUCAAGGUUCUACAUGAUGGUUCAUCAAGGAUUUAAUUUCUUCUCGAAGUGUUCAUCAAUAUUCUGUUCAGGGGAACACAAGCUUUCAUCAUCUUCCUACCCGGAGUGCAAUUCUUUCUUCCAUAUUAUUGGAGAUGGUAUUAUGUCAUUCUUGAUAAUUUGAGCUCAUGUUUCAUGAUUCACAUGUUGUUAAGAAUGAGGUAUUUUAAAUCCAUCAAUCUCGUCAUUGGAAUUAUCUUGGGUUAUAUUUCACCUAAAGCCUCCCCUAUGGCUUGUUGCUAUCUAUGUUGUUUAUAAAUGACCCAAGUUAUUCAUCUAUCCUCCGGUGAAUUAAGCUUCUCAUCUCCUUGUUGUUAUCAAUCUAAUAUAUCGUUUCUGUUAGUGGCAGAAUUUCACCUCUUAGUUUUGAGAUGUUUUCCAUAAGCCCACUACAAACUUAUUCUUUCAUUGUUGGUUUUCCAACAACUCUAUUCUAGCAUUUGUUGUAACCGUGCUCUCUCAAGAUCUUGUUUCCCUGUGUUCCGGAGGCAUUGUGAUGUUGCUCUCUGCAACCCAACUUCUUGUUUUGUCAGGAUCGUGUUUUUUUUCCUCCUUAUCCUUUUAACCAGAGUAUUGUGUCCUUUUGCUCAAGCUCUUUCAUUUUAUCAAGUAUUUCAUCUCUUUUAAACCGGAGUGCUGUCUGAGAUCUUUCUUAGCCCUUGUUCCAUUCAUUCAAUACUUCCGGAGGAUGUAUGUUGUGAUUUCAUCAAGUGUCCUCUCAUCUUAUCAAGUUCUUAUUCAAUUUCAGUUAUUUUCAACCGGAGUGCUGCCCGAAGUUGUUCUUCCUUGUUCCUCUUUUCUAACAGAGUGCUUUCAACUUUGUUCUUCUCCGUUGUUUUAUUUCUUUCAAUUUGUUCAACCUUCUCAAGGUUCUUUGGUUUCACUCGUUUGUCAAAGAAGCAAUUUGUUUUACCUCUUCUCUUUCUCUUCCGUUUUUUCCUCCGGGGCCAUUCUAGAUCUUGGGACGAGAUCCUCUCAUAGUGGUGGAGUGUUGUAACGCCCCGAGACCGAUGUGCCAGGUGUCCUCCAGUUAUUCGCUGUUGUUGCUUUAUCAUUUGCUUGCGUGUUGCAUCUUAUCUUGUCAUCAUGUGCAUUGCAUCAUCAUGUUUUCAAAACUUGCAUCUGUCCCGGUCUCCUCGUUCUCUCCGUUGUCCGUUCUGAGCCCAACCACACUUGCACGCGCCCGCGACUUGUCCGAAAUAUUAUUUUAUUAGUGGCCGGAAAAUGUUCUCGGAAUGGGAUGAAAGUUGGCGUGUGGUGUUGUUUUGUUGUCAGUAGACCACCUGCCAAGUUUCAUCGCGUUCGGAGUUCGUUUGAUAGCCCAACGGUUAACUAUAGCGACAAUAUAGUCGGUCUAUAACGUCGGACGUUUUCGGUCUCCGAAAACUGUUGUCGGGCUUUCCCUCUCUUCUCUUCUCUCAGCUCGAGACCGUCUACACAACUCACUACCUACCGCCAGGUCCAAUCCUAACCCCUCUCGUCAGCCCGCAGCCCCCCUCGCGCGCGUCCGAAAUCUGUCCAGGACCCGACCCGGACAGUCGUUACCGUUGUGUCCGGAUCAGCCCCAAAGAUCUACAAAACGUCACCAUUUUCUUAUUUGGACUCCCUAGCUAUUUUUUCGCGACCAUCCGAUUACGAUGAGAGGGACGAGUUAGUCCCUGGACUUCCCCUCUUUUUCCUUAUAUAAAAACUCCGUAGUCUAAAUUUGAACAAACCCUAAAUUCUAGGCUGUUUGUCCCCCCUAGCCGCCGCCACCUACAGCCUUCCCCCUCCUCGGAUCAGCCGCAUCUACCCACUCGCCUUGCACUUUGGGAUCCUCCCAAAUCCAUCCCGGGCCAAUCAUCAUCUCCCCUCGAUCCAUCCAUCCAACCACGCCGCAGCCAGCCACGAGCGAGCGCCCGAGCCCCCUGUCGAGCUCUUCCGCUGCUCGUGCAACAGCACCUCGUUUUCGCCACCAUGAGCCGCCAGGACCGGCCUCGUCCCUCUCCCUCCCUUCGUUCUCCUCCUCCCAUCACCUCUCUCUCCCUCUCAGUACUCUCUCUCUCCCUCUCAGGUGCCCGUAGCCGCCGCCCAGGGAGUUCGCCGUUGCCCCCGUCUUCGCCAGAUCCGGCCGGGAUCCACCGGAUCUGGGUGCCCCGCCGUUGUCCUGCCCGUGUUCGGACUCCCCUGCCGCUGCCUCGCCCGGAUCAGGCGGAUCCGGCGAGCUGUUCGCCGCUGCCGUCCGCAUCAGAUGCUUGCUCGUUCUUCGCUUCAGGGACGAGUCGAGCGCUGCCCCGUUGACCGCCCUUUUCCUUCGCCUGCUCGACCGCGCCCCCUGGGCCGCCUCCACCGGCAAUCGCCAAGGCCCAGGCACUUCCUCCCCAGCCAGCCUCCUUCACCAACGGGCCGAAGCCCAUGGUGAGCAGCCGCCUAGAUCCCAUGCACUGUUGGGCCGGCCUUUGUUGCGACCCAUAUCUGUUUUUUUUUCAGUAUGCGUAUUUGUCUAUUUUUUUCCAGUUAACAUGUUUUACAGUUUAGCCCUUCAAGUCCAUGCAUUUAAUAACUUAAUAACCGUGCACCAUAUUAAAAUGAUUUAUAUAUGACAGUUGCUUAGAAUUUUGUCUAGUUUAAUAAUAUCCAACUUUCAUCUAUGUUUAAAAUAUUUAAAAAGUUGUUUGCAUUAAUUUGCUCCUAUGCCAUGUUAAAAUGAUUUAAUUCAUAACUAAAUAACCCUAACUCUGAUUUUAAUAAAUUUUAUAUGUAAAUGGGGUAGAAUUUUGCCUAGUUUAACUUGGUGGCAUCAUCUUACAUGUUUAACAACUCUAAAAUAAUGUUUAGGGCAGAACAGUACCAAACCUUAAAUUAUGCAUAUGAGGAUUUUCAGGAAUUGUUGUCCGUUGCUUCCGGCCUCAUUUAAAGUUGCCUAGAUAGGUAGUUUUGUUGUGCUUCGCCUCUUGCCAUGUUAAUCAACAUUUAAUAUUGUUGGGGUACAUAAACGAGAGAGAACUAAAUAAUUGAUUUGGUGUUUUGUCAAUAUGCGUCCCGAUGCAUAUUGAGCUCCACUUAAUUUGUAGGAUUGCUUGUGCACUUUGCCAUGCCAUGCUUCAUUAAACCGGACAUGCAUCAUACUCGAUUGUGCAUCAUGCCAUGUUGAUGUGUUGGUUGUUUACUAUGUUGUGUGCUUCUUUUCCGGUGAUUGCUUCUUCGGGUUGGUUCUGAUAACAUCGUGUUGUGAGGAUUCGUUCGACUACGUCCGUUUGUCUUCUUCAUGGACUCUUUCUUCUUCCUUGCGGGAUUUCAGGCAAGAUGAUCAUACCCUCGAAAUCACUACUAUCUUUGCUAUGCUAGUUUGCUCGCUCUUGCUAUGCCAAUGCUACGAUGCCUACCAUUUGCUUGUCAGCCUCCCAAAUUGCCAUGUCAAACCUCUAACCCACCAUGUCCUAGCAAACUGUUGAUUGGCUAUGUUACCGCUUUGCUCAGCCCCUCUUAUAGCGUUGUUAGUUGCAGGUGAAGAUUGAAGUUUGUUCCUUGUUGGAACAUGGAGAUGUUGUUCCUUGUUAGAACAUGUUUACUUGUUGGGAUAUCACUAUAUAUCUUAUUUAAUUAAUGCAUCUAUAUACUUGGUAAAGGGUGGAAGGCUCAUCAUUAUGCCUGGUGUUUUGUUCCACUCUUGCCGCCCUAGUUUCCGUCAUAUCGGUGUUAUGUUCCCGGAUUUUGCGUCCCUUACGUGGUUGGGCUAUAAUGGGAACCCCUUGACAGUUCGCCUUAAGUAAAGCUCCUCCAGCAAUGCCCAAUCUUGGUUUUACCAUUUGCCUCACCACCACCUACUUUUCCCUUGGGAGUCGCUCUCUCGAGGGUCAUCUUUAUUUUAACCCCCCUCCCCCGGGCCAGUGCUUGUCUAAGUGUUGGUCCGAAAUGGGCAGCCUGCGAGGCCACCUCGGGGAAACUUGAGGGCUGGUUUUACUCGUAGCUUGACCUAUCCGGUGUUGCCCUGAGAACGAGAUAUGUGCAGCUCCCAUCAGGAUGUCGGCGCAUCGGGCGGUGUUGCUGGUUUAGUUUUACCCUGUCGAAAUGUCUUGUUGUACCGGGAUACCGAGUCUGAUCGGAAUGUCUCGGGUGGAGGUCUAUUCCUUCGUUGACCGUGAGAGCUUGUGAUGGGCUAAGUUGGGACACCCCUGCAGGGAUUGAACUUUCGAAAGCCGUGCCCGCGGUUAUGGGCAGAUGGGAAUUUGUUAACGUCCGAUUGUAGAAAACCUGAAGUCGACCUUAAUUAAAAUGAAUCAACAGCGUGUGUAACCAUGAUGGUCUCUUUCCGGCGGAGUCCGGGAAGUGAACACGGUUGUUGGAGUUAUGCUUGACGUAGGUUGUUAUAGGAUCACUUCUUGAUCAUACUUUUAUCGACCAUGCUUUGCCUUCUCUUCUCGCUCUCAUUUGCGUAUGUUAGCCACCAUAUAUGCUAGUCGCUUGCUGCGGCUCCACCUCAUACCUUUACCUUACCCAUAAGCUUAAAUAGUCUUGAUCGCGAGGGUGCGAGAUUGCUGAGUCCCUGUGGCUCACAGAUACUUCCAAAACCAGCUUGCAGGUGCCGAUGAGUUCGUGCAGAUGACGCAACCAAGCUCAGGAGGAGCUCGAUGAAGACCUUGUCCUUUGUGUUGUUUUCCGUUCUAGUUGAUCAGUAGUGGAGCCCAGUUGGAGUCGAUCGUGGACCUUUGUCGCAUUUGGGGUUCUUCUUUUAUUUUGGUGCCGUAGUCGGACCAUGAGUGUAUUUGAUUGAUGUAAUGUUUAUUCAUGUAAUUGUGUGAAGUGGCGAUUGUAAGCCAACUAUGUAUCUCUUUCCCUUAUGUAUUACAUGGGUUGUGUAAAGAUUACCUCACUUGCGACAUAUGCCUUCAAUGCGAUUAUGUCUCUAAGUCGUGCCUCGACACGUGGGAGCUAU